GACCCAAUAAUGAGCCAGCCAGUAAGCUAGCUCUUGAAACUUGAGCUAGCGCCAUCUUCUCUCGGGGCGGGCUUGUGAUACGCUUUUCCCGGCUUCCUCGAUGCCACCAUUCCCAUCAUCUCCCUCCAUCGCUGCAGCGGCGGCGGCGGCCGCGGCAGCAUCCCUCACCUCGCUUGCCUACGCCGAUAGCGCCUUCCGCUUCCCGUUUCUGUCCUCUCCUUCACCUCCUGUCACCGAUGGCUCGUCCUCGGCAUCCGCGGCAUCAUCUUCUUCUUCUGGAGGGUUCGACCCGGAAUCGCUGGAGCGAGGGGCGAAAGCCCUGCGGGAAAUCAACGGCUCGCCUUAUGCCUCGCAGGUUUUUGAGCUGAUGAGGAAGCAAGAGGAGAGUCGUUUGGCGGAGAUUGCGGUUGAGAAGGCUAGGCAUCUAGCAAUUCAGACGCAGGCUGAUAUUGAGAAGCAGCAGAAGCUGGCAGAGGAGCAAAGGAAUCUUAUUCAACAACAAGCCCAGACCAAAGCCCAAAUGGCACGCUAUGAAGAUGAGCUAGCUAGAAAAAGAAUGCAGACAGAGCAUGAAGCUCAUAGGCAACAGAAUGCUGAGCUAGUCAAAAUGCAAGAGGAAUCCUCUACUAGGAAAGAACAAGCAAGACGUGCUGCAGAAGAACAGAUUCAAGCUCAACAACGUGAAACUGAGAAAGAGCGAGCUGAAAUAGAGCGUGAAACAAUUAGAGUAAAAGCUAUGGCAGAGGCUGAAGGUCGUGCUCAUGAGGCAAAAUUAACGGAAGAAUAUAACAAGAGGAUGCUGUUAGAACGCAUGAAUGGAGAAAGGGAUAAAUGGUUGGCUUCAAUUAACGCAACUUUUAGUCAUAUUGAAGGUGGAUUGAAAAUGUUGUUGACUGAUCAGAGUAAAAUGAUCAUGGCUGUUGGUGGGGUAACUGCGCUUGCUGCUGGCGUUUAUACUACUAGGGAAGGUGCAAGGGUAAUGUGGGGUUAUGUCAAUAGAUUGUUGGGCCAGCCAUCACUGAUUAGGGAAUCUUCCAUAGCGAAGUUUCCAUGGUCAGGAAUUAUGUCUAAAUUUUUAAAGAAGAUAGAGAGUUAUGGUGCGUCAAAUAAGGAUUUGGUUUCUAUGAGAAACAAAACAAGCUUUGACAAUAUUAUUCUCAACCCAUCACUAAAGAAGAGGAUUGAGCUACUUGCCAGAGCUACAGAGAACACAAAGUCUCAUCAAGCACCUUUCCGUAAUAUGCUUUUCUUUGGACCACCAGGUACUGGGAAGACUAUGGUUGCAAAAGAGAUGGCACGAAAAUCAGGCCUAGAUUAUGCAAUGAUGACGGGAGGAGAUGUAGCACCUUUAGGUCCACAAGCUGUUACGAAGAUACAUGAAAUUUUUGAUUGGGCAAAAAAAUCAAGAAAGGGCUUACUGCUUUUCAUUGAUGAGGCUGAUGCAUUCCUGUGCGAGAGAAACAAUAUACACAUGAGCGAAGCUCAGCGGAGUGCUCUGAACGCGCUGCUCUUUAGAACUGGCGAUCAAUCCAGAGAUAUAGUUCUCGUCCUUGCUACAAACAGACCUGGUGAUCUAGAUGCAGCAGUUACAGAUCGUAUCGACGAAGUAAUUGAAUUCCCACUUCCUGGUGAAGAAGAACGCUUCCAACUACUGAAACUUUACUUGAAUCAAUACAUAUCUUCUAAAUCUGGAGAUGAAUCAUCCUCAUGGAGGUCUCAUUUCAAUAAGAAGCAGCAGAAAAUAGUUCUGAAGGAUGUGAGUGACGAAGAUAUUCGAGAAGCUGCUAAAAGAACUCAUGGAUUCUCUGGAAGGGAGAUUGCAAAACUUAUUGCUAGUAUUCGCGCCACAGUCUAUGGUAGCACAGAUUGUGUUCUGGACUCUAAUUUGUUCAGGGAGAUGGUGAACUUUAAGGUAGAUGAGCAUUAUAAGAGGAUAAAGCUUGCUGAUGAAUAUACUGAUAAAGUAUCAAUUAAGGAAUGAAGAGCUUGUGAAUUUCAGUGUUCGGCAUGAUACUGAUAGAGAUGAAGAUUAGAGGAAGGAGUACAAUUUUACUGGAAAAGUUUUGUUAAAAUUUAUGUACUUCUAUUCUUUGCAAGAACAAUGGAGCACCAUACAUCUCUGGGCUCUACUCAUUUUUUCUGCUUCCAGGUGCAGUUGAGUAAGCUUACCAACAAUGGCAUGUUCUGUUUGACCAUCUCCUCAAGAACAGAAAAGCAUUUUCCAAAGAUAUCUGUUACUCCAUCUUGUGAAUUGGUAGUUGCUCCAGCAGGAUACAAUUUCACAG
Molecule: RNA transcript, 2285 nt
Organism: Dendrobium catenatum
Lineage: Eukaryota; Viridiplantae; Streptophyta; Magnoliopsida; Asparagales; Orchidaceae
Gene name: ATPase family AAA domain-containing protein 3
Exons: 9
Source: RefSeq, a predicted model, not a curated record